AUUGAACGCUGGCGGCAUGCCUUACACAUGCAAGUCGAACGGCAGCACGGGUGCUUGCACCUGGUGGCGAGUGGCGAACGGGUGAGUAAUACAUCGGAACAUGUCCUGUAGUGGGGGCUAGCCCGGCGAAAGCCGGAUUAAUACCGCAUACGAUCUACGGAUGAAAGCGGGGGACCUUCGGGCCUCGCGCUAUCGGGUUGGCCGGUGGCUGAUUAGCUAGUUGGUGGGGUAAAGGCCUACCAAGGCGACGCUCAGUAGCCGGUCUGAGAGGGCGACCAGCCACACUGGGACUGAGACACGGCCCAGACUCCUACGGGAGGCAGCAGUGGGGAAUUUUGGACAAUGGGCGAAAGCCUGAUCCAGCAAUGCCGCGUGUGUGAAGAAGGCCUUCGGGUUGUAAAGCACUUUUGUCCGGAAAGAAAUCCUUGGCCCUAAUACGGUCGGGGGAUGACGGUACCGGAAGAAUAAGCACCGGCUAACUACGUG
RNAcentral lists this ribosomal RNA (486 nucleotides) under uncultured bacterium. Its description in RNAcentral is "partial 16S ribosomal RNA". It matches the Rfam family "Bacterial small subunit ribosomal RNA", at positions 30 to 507 of the family's 1533-position model. The record is from RNAcentral.